Molecule: long non-coding RNA, 496 nt
Organism: Lates calcarifer (barramundi perch)
Lineage: Eukaryota; Metazoa; Chordata; Actinopteri; Centropomidae
Exons: 2
Source: RefSeq, a predicted model, not a curated record
CUACUUUAAGUGGCAGUGGGGGAAGGUGGAUUGGAACCACUUCGCCGCUACCUACAAGCUGAUGUUUUAUACAGAAGGAGAAAGAAGAGGAAGGAGCAUCAACUUGUGAAAUGCCUCAACAAAUAUCACUGGCUGGUGCCAAUUUCUGGGAGGAUACAUCCGACAGGCUUGGACACAUGUGACGUCAGGAGGCCAUGGACGUUUCCUGCAUGAACCUGGUAAUGUGUCACAAAACAGAAAAUGAUUCAGAGUGAGAUGAGAAGGUGAUACUCACACCCAGAUCAACAAACUGAUGUAAAGUUUUCUUUGUCGUGCUGUAAUUCGACCCUGUGUAAAUUUAUGCAAGGCAAGGACAUAAGCCUUUACACUGAAGAACAUUUAGAAGCAUUCUGAUAUGAGAAAUUUAAGAUUUUGUGUUGUUAUGUAUACAAUCAAAGUGGAUAAAUUGUAAGGACAUAAUUGUUUAUACAAAACAUAAAAUAUCUGCAGCAUGAAA